RNAcentral lists this long non-coding RNA (457 nucleotides) under Pan troglodytes (chimpanzee). RNAcentral describes it as "lincRNA". Lineage: Eukaryota; Metazoa; Chordata; Mammalia; Primates; Hominidae. The record is from RNAcentral.
UUCAAUUGAGUAAACAUUUCCUAAUUACUUAAGAGCAAAGCGUUGUUAGGUGCCUAGGGAAACAAAGACAAAUCAUUGCUUCCUGUCUCCAAAAAGUUCCCCAUUGAGCAAGCAGGUGAGCUACAAUAAAAGCAACAGGUCUUAUUAACAAAGGGCUGGGCAAAUCCAGAGGAGAGUGUGAUAAAUUCCACUUUGGUGAGACUUCCGUGGAAGAACUAAAAGCUGGACCUUGAAGAUCUGUCUGCUGUGUGCCAGACACAUGUCUGUGAUUCAGAGGGCAGCAUUGACUCUGGAGUGUGCAGAAGAUAAUGAGUCUGGAAAAGAAAACUGGGGCCAGACUGAAAAUUUCAGUGCCUCUCUGCCCUUAUCUCCGCCAGAUAACUCUCUUCUACUACCUUGCUUAUUCCCCAAGACCCAGCUCAACCUCUACCUUCUUUAUUAAAUCUUCCUGAUUACC